UCAAGCUACUAAGAGCGUAGAGUGGAUGCCUUGGCACCGAGAGCCGAUGAAGGACGUGAUAAGCUGCGAAAAGCUACGGGGAGUUGCAAAUAAACUUUGAUCCGUAGAUGUCCGAAUGGGGAAACCCGGCUGUGCAAACCACAGUCAUCAUACAGCCAAUCCAUAACUGUAUGAAGGGAACGCUGGGAACUGAAACAUCUAAGUACCAGCAGGAGGAGAAAGAAACAUCGAUUUCCUAAGUAGCGGCGAGCGAAAGGGAAACAGGCCAAACCAAAGUACUUGUACUUUGGGGUUGCGGACUGCGUUGUGGCAAGAUAAAGGAUAGUCGAAGCGUUUGGAAAGACGCAUCAUAGAGGGUGAUAAUCCCGUAGACGAAAUCCGAUUGAAGCCUAGCAGGAUCCAGAGUACCACGAGACACGAGAAACCUUGUGGGAAGCCGGGGGGACCACCCCCCAAGCCUAAAUACUCCUCGGUGACCGAUAGCGUAUAGUACUGUGAAGGAAAGGUGAAAAGAACCCCGGGAGGGGAGUGAAAAAGAACCUGAAACUCUAUGUUUACAAGCAGUGGAAGCACCAUACGAGUGCGACCGCGUACUUUUUGUAGAACGGUCCGGCGAGUUAUUCGUAGUGGCAAGGUUAAGUACCAGAAGGUACGAAGCCGAAGGGAAACCAAGUCUGAAUAGGGCGAGUUUAGUCGCUGCGAAUAGACCCGAAACCGGGUGACCUACCCAUGGUCAGGAUGAAGUUACCGUAAAAGGUAAUGGAGGUCCGAACUCACAUCUGUUGAAAAAGGUGGAGAUGAACUGUGGGUAGCGGAGAAAUUCCAAUCGAACCCGGAGAUAGCUGGUUCUCCUCGAAAUAGCUUUAGGGCUAGCGUUGUUAGGAGUCUAAUGGAGGUAAAGCACUGAAUUCCCUAGGGGGCCCACAAGCUUACCGAAGGAUAUCAAACUCAGAAUGCCAUAAAGAUACCAACAGCAGUCAGACUACGAGUGAUAAGACACGUGGUCAAAAGGGAAAGAGCCCAGACCAUCAGCUAAGGUCCCCAAGUGUAUGUUAAGUGGAAAAGGAUGUGAGAUUUCGAAGACAACUAGGAUGUUGGCUUAGAAGCAGCCAUACAUUCAAAGAGUGCGUAAUAGCUCACUAGUCGAGAGAUCUUGCGCCGAAAAUGUCCGGGGCUAAAACAUACCACCGAAGCUAUGGAAUCAUCUAGUAUGAUUGGUAGAGGAGCGUUGCAUCGGCGCAGAAGCAGUACCGGAAGGAGCUGUGGAGCUUAUGCAAGUGAGAAUGCCGGAAUGAGUAGCGAGAUAGAAGUGAGAAUCUUCUAGGCCGAAUAUCCAAGGUUUCCAGGGUAAAGCUGAUCUGCCCUGGGUAAGUCGGGACCUAAGGCGAGGACGAAAGUCGUAGUCGAUGGACAACUGGUUGAAAUUCCAGUACCACCUAUUAUCAGAACUGCAGGGACGCAGAAGGAUAGGGAAGGCGCAGAAUGGAAAGCUGCGUGCAAGCACAAAGUCGCAUCUGGUAGGCAAAUCCGCCAGACGAGGAUGAAGUGUGAUGCGGAUCGAAAUACAAGUAGAGAAGUUCCUGAAUCCACACUGCCGAGAAAAGCUGCUAUUGCGUGAUAGGUGCCCGUACCGUAAACCGACACAGGUGGAUGAGGAGAGAAUCCUAAGGCCGACGGGAGAAGCGUUGUUAAGGAACUCGGCAAAAUGACCCCGUAACUUAGGGAGAAGGGGUGCCUGCUUAACGGCAGGCCGCAGAGAAUAGGCCCAAGCAACUGUUUAACAAAAACACAGGUCUUUGCUAAACCGAAAGGUGAUGUAUAAGGGCUGACGCCUGCCCGGUGCUGGAAGGUUAAGGGGAGAGGUUAGGAGUAAUCCGAAGCUUUGAACUUAAGCCCCAGUAAACGGCGGCCGUAACUAUAACGGUCCUAAGGUAGCGAAAUUCCUUGUCAGGUAAGUUCU
Molecule: ribosomal RNA, 1960 nt
Filed under: human gut metagenome
Description: bacterial LSU rRNA
Rfam family: Bacterial large subunit ribosomal RNA
Source: RNAcentral